CCCCUGCAGGAUCCAUUUUAAUCAGCCAUGGAAAUUAGAAUGAUGAAGAACUAGAGAUGAAGGCUCUACAAUGUCCUGGCUAAAGUGGACGUUCAUCACUACCUGUAGAGUUGCUUGGGCCUUGUUUUGUAGUUAACCUUCCUGAGUAAGCUGCAUUUACUGUUCAUUUAAAAACACAAUUAUACUGGAUUUCAUGUAAACAAGUGGAAGCCAGCGAGCAUGAAGAGAAGCCUGGAGAUAAGCUUGUAUGGUAAAGUGAAGGAGAAUAUUAACGCUUGAUGAUUUUUUUUUAGAAUGCUGCAAUUAAGAACUUUAACAAUAUGUAUGUAGCAUGUGUGUAAUCCUAUAAAUGUGGCUUUAUGGGAAUAUCAUACCACACAGUACAAUACACAUGACUGACACGUAACGUAGGCAGAACAAUUCCAUGCAAUAUUUGACUAUUUUUGAUAUUCUGAUACAUAAUUUGAUACGGUCAGAAUCAGUCUAGUCAUAACAGAAGGUAUAUAUGCUUGUAUGUUGAAUGCUUUUAAAUAUUAGGACUGAAAUAAAUUCAUGAUGUUGAAUGAACUGA
Puntigrus tetrazona (Sumatra barb) is the source of this 571-nucleotide long non-coding RNA. RefSeq lists it as uncharacterized. The record is from RefSeq and is a predicted model, not a curated record. The transcript has 2 exons. Lineage: Eukaryota; Metazoa; Chordata; Actinopteri; Cypriniformes; Cyprinidae.